RNAcentral lists this ribosomal RNA (253 nucleotides) under uncultured bacterium. RNAcentral describes it as "partial 16S ribosomal RNA". It matches the Rfam family "Bacterial small subunit ribosomal RNA", at positions 524 to 776 of the family's 1533-position model. The record is from RNAcentral.
UACGUAGGGAGCAAGCGUUGUCCGGAAUCAUUGGGCGUAAAGCGCGCGUAGGUGGCUUCAUAAGUCCGUUGUGAAAGUCAAAGGCUCAACCUUUGAAAGCCGAUGGAUACUGUGAAGCUAGAGUACGGAAGAGGCGAGUGGAAUUCCUGGUGUAGCGGUGGAAUGCGCAGAUAUCAGGAGGAACACCAAUGGCGUAGGCAGCUCGCUGGGACGGUACUGACGCUGAGACGCGAAAGCGUGGGGAGCAAACAGG